RNAcentral lists this ribosomal RNA (511 nucleotides) under uncultured Methanomicrobia archaeon. Its description in RNAcentral is "bacterial SSU rRNA". It matches the Rfam family "Archaeal small subunit ribosomal RNA", at positions 557 to 1067 of the family's 1478-position model. Lineage: Archaea; Methanobacteriati; Methanobacteriota; Methanomicrobia. The record is from RNAcentral.
GCUUAACCGUCAGGCGUCCGGGAGAAACUGCUAGACUUGGGAGCGGGGGAGGUUGGAGGUACUCCAGGGGUAGAGGUGAAAUUCUGUAAUCCUUGGGGGACCACCAGUGGCGAAGGCGUCUAACCAAAACGCGUCCGACGGUGAGGGACGAAAGCCAGGGGCACGAACCGGAUUAGAUACCCGGGUAGUCCUGGCCGUAAACGAUGCGGGCUAGGUGUCACAGUGGCUGCGGGCCACUGUGGUGCCGUAGAGAAAUCGCGAAGCCUGCCGCUUGGGAAGUACGGCCGCAAGGCUGAAACUUGAAGGAAUUGGCGGGGGAGCACUACAAUGGGUGGAGCCUGCGGUUUAAUUGGAUUCAACGCCGGGAAGCUUACCGGGUGCGACAGCUGGAUGAAGGCCAGGCUAAAGACCUUGCUGGACUAGCUGAGAGGAGGUGCAUGGCCGUCGUCAGUUCGUACUGUGAAGCGUCCUGUUAAGUCAGGCAACGAACGAGAUCCACGCCCACUGUUGC